GUGGGGAAUCUUAGACAAUGGGCGCAAGCCUGAUCUAGCCAUGCCGCGUGAGUGAUGAAGGCCCUAGGGUUGUAAAGCUCUUUCAGCUGGGAAGAUAAUGACGGUACCAGCAGAAGAAGCCCCGGCUAACUUCGUGCCAGCAGCCGCGGUAAUACGAAGGGGGCUAGCGUUGUUCGGAAUCACUGGGCGUAAAGCGCACGUAGGCGGAUCAAUAAGUCAGGGGUGAAAUCCCGAGGCUCAACCUCGGAACUGCCUUUGAUACUGUUGACCUUGAGUCCGGGAGAGGUGAGUGGAACUCCGAGUGUAGAGGUGAAAUUCGUAGAUAUUCGGAAGAACACCAGUGGCGAAGGCGGCUCACUGGCCCGGUACUGACGCUGAGGUGCGAAAGCGUGGGGAGCAAACAGGAUUAGAUACCCUAGUAGUCC
This 425-nucleotide ribosomal RNA is filed under the name uncultured bacterium. Its description in RNAcentral is "partial 16S ribosomal RNA". It matches the Rfam family "Bacterial small subunit ribosomal RNA", at positions 354 to 796 of the family's 1533-position model. The record is from RNAcentral.